Molecule: non-coding RNA, 90 nt
Organism: Mycena leptocephala
Lineage: Eukaryota; Fungi; Basidiomycota; Agaricomycetes; Agaricales; Mycenaceae
Source: the annotation of a GenBank genome assembly
UCGGACGUGGUGCAUGGUGCACACCUGCUUGCAAUAAACGAGCGCUUUCUGCCAAUGAGCAAGGCCUGGGUUCGAUUCCCGGCGCCCGAG